This 253-nucleotide ribosomal RNA is filed under the name uncultured bacterium. RNAcentral's name for it is "partial 16S ribosomal RNA". It matches the Rfam family "Bacterial small subunit ribosomal RNA", at positions 524 to 776 of the family's 1533-position model. The record is from RNAcentral.
UACGAAGGGGGCUAGCGUUGCUCGGAAUCACUGGGCGUAAAGGGUGCGUAGGCGGGUCUUUAAGUCAGGGGUGAAAUCCUGGAGCUCAACUCCGGAACUGCAUUGGAUACUGCCUUGCUAGAGAACUGGAGAGGAAACUGGAAUUUACGGUGUAGCAGUGAAAUGCGUAGAGAUCGUAAGGAAGACCAGUGGCGAAGGCGAGUUUCUGGACAGUUACUGACGCUGAGGCACGAAGGCCAGGGGAGCAAACGGG